Zootoca vivipara (common lizard) is the source of this 8097-nucleotide non-coding RNA. Lineage: Eukaryota; Metazoa; Chordata; Lepidosauria; Squamata; Lacertidae. The record is from RefSeq and is a predicted model, not a curated record.
AAAAAAACCGGAUGUACGUUUCCAAAAUAUAAGAUAAAAAAACAAAAUAAAGCCUACAUACAGCAACAGUGUUUUGUGUUGUGUAGGCUCCUAUGAUGUACCGUAAGUCAUGGGCCCUGCCUACUAGACUGCUCCCUAAAACAUCACCGGUUUGCUCAUUUCAAUAUAUAGGGUGCCUACAUUCUGCAUGGACUGGUUGCAGGGCAACAUGUGCAAAUGGCUUUAGAUACCUAUUAGGUCCAUAAAUUACCAUGUAGCAUAUAUUCAACACACACACACAAAAAAACAGCGACAAUUUGUUGUUGACAAAGGACAGCUGGACAUAUCAAGCUGGACAUUACCUUCAGUAGCUUACAGCCUCAUUAAACCUAAAUCCGGCCCUGAGCAUAGGCACUGUGUCUAGAAGUCAUUCAUUCAUAGCUUUUCUCCUCCAGUUCUAAAGCCAUCCUAGUUGGUGCCCAUCACUGCCUCCUAUGGAAGUGAGUUCCGUAGUUCGAUUAUGUGCCAUGUGAAGAAGAAUGUAGUUUUGCCUUCCUUUCCUCCUCCCUCCCGACCCCACCUUUCCCCACCUUUACCCACCUUUAUAGUUUAGUCCUCAGGUGUUCUUGGGCAAGGCCUUCUAAAUCCAAAAUCCCACUGGGAAUGUGGAAGCCUUUAGGCCUGGCUCUGGUAUAGCUCAGUUGGUUAGAGCGUGGUACUCAUAAUGCCAAGGUUGCAGGUUCGAUCCUAUAUGGGGGCAGCUGCAUAAUCCUGCAUUGCGGGAGUUUGGACUAGAAGAUCCUCAGGGUCCCUUCUGAGAUGGCCGGUGGCUCUUUCUAUCCCUUCUGUGAUCUGUCGGAUAUAGUAAGAUAAUAAUAAUAAUAAUAAUAAUAAUAAUAAUAAUAAUAAUAAUAAUGUAAUUUAUUAUUUAUACUCCACCCAUCUGGCUGGGUUUCCCCAGCCACUCUCGGUGGCUCCCAACCGAAUGUUAAAAAAAACAAUACAGCAAUAAACAUUAAAAACUUCCCUAAACAGGGCUGCCUUCAGAUGUCUUUUAAAAGUAAGAUACAUAGUUGCUUAUUUCCUUGACAUCUGAUGGGAGGGCGUUCCACCGGGCAGGCGCCACUACCGAGAAGGCCCUUGUUGAGGAUUGUGUUUCACGAGAAAGAGGGAGACCAGGAUUCCAAGGUUCCUCCGUGACUCAGAAUUAAUCAGGAGCUCUAUAUAUUGUGGCUGAAAACCAGCUUUUGCUCUCCUCCCCCUCCCCUCCACCCCAUUUUUCUAGUCCGGGGUGUGGCUUCAAAUAUUUAGGGAGUUGUUGAGCCAGAUGGUAUUUGACUUGGCCAAAGCAAGCUGCAUCCCCCCCCCAAGAAAACACACACUAUUAUUUUAAACUCAAGUUGUCAUUUCAAGGCAAUAGUACAUUAAUCUAGUGAAGGCUUGUUAAAAUAUUUGACCGUGCUAUUUAUGGAGCUAUUUUUCAGCUGUGAUGGAAGAUCACUGCAUGGUUAUGACUCUUUUGCUAACCGCAUGCUCUCUACCAGGAGGUAAGGUGAGGCAGACCCCCAAGGUGGUGGAUUUGGGGCACCAUUAAGGACCAUUAAAGAGUUGGGGACAGAUGGAUCUGACCUGUAGGAGGUGUCAGUCCUGCAGGUAGAGACCUGGCUUCAAGACCUUUCUGUAGGCACCCCCCCCCAAUAGUUUGGGAUGAGGAGGGGUGCAUGUGGUUAGGGACCCCAGGGCUCAUCUGCUCCAAACCUUGCAAUGUAUGAAGGACAACCCCAGAAACAUUUAAAGGAGAUGUGUCGAUAUCCUUCCCAUUGGACAUGAAUGCUAGUUGAUGGGAGAGUGCUGUUGUGCUCACAAGCCGCUUACGGGAACAGGAUGUGAGGCUAGGUGGCCUUAACUUGGAGCACUCUUCAUCAGGUCUUAGGCCACCUUGCCAAGAGUUUGAAAAUAACCAGGCGGGUUUUGUGACAGGUGUGGGCCCAAUGGCAGCCAUGUGGAGUUCUCUGGGCACCAAGUUGAUGACUGGGGGAAGCAAAAUGUCACUUACAGAAGGGUCUGAGAUAUUUUGCUGAAAGCGUGAAUUAAUUUUAUUUGGGAUUGUUUUAUUUGAUGUUUUAAUGUGUUGCAAACCGCUUUGAAUGUUGUUCUUCAUAACAACAACAACAACAACAAUACUGUAAUAAUUUUUAUUAUUAUUAUUUUUUACCCCGUCCAUCUGGCUGGGUUUCCCCAGCCACUCUGGGCAGCUCCCAACAGAAUAUCAAAAACACGAUAAAACAUCAAGCAUUAAAAACGUCCCUAAACAGAUGUCUUCUAAAAGUCAGGUGCCUUCUAAAAGUCAGAUAGUUGUUCAUUUCCUUGACAUCAGAGGCGUUCCACAGGGCAGGCACCACUACUGAGAAGGCCCUCUGCCUGGUUCCUGUAACCUCACUUCUCGCAGGGAGGGAACUGCCAGAAGGCCCUUGGCGCUGAACCUCAGUGUCCGGGCAGAACGGUGGGGGUGGAGAUGCUCCUUCAGGUUUACAGGGCCAAGGCCGUUUAGGGCUUUAAAGGUCAGCACCAACACUUUGAAUUGUGCUUGGAAACAUACUGGGAGCCAAUGUAGGUCUUAAUACAAAGUGGUAUAGAAAAGAAAUAAAUGAAUGAAUGAAAAUAAUAGUAAUAAUAGUAAUAAUAAUAAUAAUAAUAAUAAUAAUAAUACAGUGGUGCCUCGACUUACGAAUUUAAUCCAUUCCGAAGGCACCUUCGUAAGUCGAAAAAUUUGUGAGUCGAAAAACGCCAUUGGAAACGCGAUUUCCCAUAGGAAUGCAUUGUAAACGGAAAAAUUCGUAAGUCGAAGCAACCCUAUCUAAAAAUUUGUAAGUCGAAAAAUCCCUAUCUAAAACCGCCACUUUUUUCCGGAUUUCGAGACAUUCGUAAGUGCGCAGCCAUUACCCCCAUUCGUAAGUCAAAAAAUUCAGUUGUCGAGUCGUUCGUAAGUCGAGGUACCACUGUAAACAAUGGUGCCUAGAUAUCUAGAUAUCCCAUUGUGGUAACCGCAGCCUAGGUUUUAGGUACCAUUUGGCGCUUAGAUUAUAUAUCUGAGUUCCUAACACCAAUCUUGCCCAUGUUUUCUUCGUACCAAGGAGUUUUGCAAAGCAAAUUUCCCGUCCCACUGUUUUUCAAAGGAUGCUCUGCAUACAGCACAAUCUGCCACAAGGAGCAAGAAGGGCCCUCCUCCCAGUUGCGCAAGAAUUGCUGCCACCCCCACCCCCAACCCAUGGGGGCCUCUGCCCACAUCCAGCUGGAGGGUGAUGCUGCUGAGAUUUAAAUAUAUCCAUUGGAAAGCUCAGAAGGAUGCUGGCAGCCUGCAGAUUGCAACUGAAUGGCCCUGAAGACAUCUGGGGAGGUGGACGCCAGUCUUGUCUCCCUCGCUCUAGACUUGAGGACUGGGAGAUGCGUCAGGCCAUAAUGAUUAAUGGCCUUCCGUGGGUUGGUUCUCUCUGGAGAGGGGAACUUAUCCCAGCUGGAAGAGAACAGGAGAGUUUAAUCCUCCCAGACCUUCCUCUUCCCUUUCCCCUACAAACCCGUUCCAGAGUUUCAGAGCUCCCGGUUGUUGGUUUGCUCAGCAUUCCUGUCUCACAUCUUUGGCACCCCAUCAUUGUGUGAUUAAUACUCUGGAAGGUGCAGCAAUUUCCUGAAUAUCCAGUGAAGGGCUAAAAAUAAUCUCUUUUAAAAAAAAUACAAAAUGCGUUCUUUCUUUUUUUCUUUAAAAAAAUCUAGAUGAAAGCGCCAACGACUUGUGUUUUCAUCUUCUUUCUCGCAGCUCAGUGAUUCAUCUCUUUGGAAUAAAUACCCUGAACAUCGCCGGCUUACGUUAGAAUCUGAGCAGGAUUCUGACCGCUUGCCAGAGCAACCAGUUGCCGGUGGCUGCUUUUGCUGUGAUCAGUGCUUAAAUCAACCAUGUGCUGUAUCUGCUGGUUGCUAGGAGAACUCAUAAAGGCAUCAGAAGACUCCUGCUGGAUCAGGCCAGGGUCCAUCUAGUUCAGUUUCCUGUUCUCCCAGUGUCCAACCAGACUCUGCCUGUGAGACCUGAACACAGGAGCCAUCUCCCCUCCUGCGAUUUCCAGAAAUUGGUAUAUGGGAGCAAUACUGACUCCAACCAUGGAGGCCGAGCCGAGCCAUGGAUAACUGUUAUGUACUGAGCUGAAUCCUAGAACCAUAGGAUUCAGAAUCAGCAGUCUGAUUGGUCUGCAGGAGCUACCCAAUCCAACUCCAGGUGGAAGUGAAUCCGCAACCUGAGUGGCCUGCAGGAGCAGCCAAUCAGGCAGCUGGCAGAAGUGAAUCUGCAACCUGAUUGGCCCACAGGUGUACCCCUGAAGUAGCCAAUCACGCAAGGCCCAUUGUGUAAAUUAUGUAUAUAAGCAGAUGGUUUUGGGAAAAGAGCCAGUAUUCUCCUCUUCUCCUUGAUGACUAUGAGCUGAAUAAAGAGCAUGAAAUUCACUCUCGACUCCGAGUAUAUUUCACUAACCCUCUCCUCUGUGAAUUUGUCCAAUAAUUCUCUUUUAGUCCACUCUAUGCUGCCUUGGUCAAACCACACCUAGAAUGCUGCAUCCAAUUCUAGGUACCACAAUUUAAGAAGGAUGCUGACAAGGCCAGAGAAGCAUCAUAUCAUACGUACAUCACAGAUGGAGGCAGUCUACAACAGAAAUCCUGUCUGCCAGGAUACCUGACAAUGGCCAGUGAUUGCUUUACUUGGGCAGCCUGGCCAUUCUUUUGUGAUGGUAAAAGUAAAGGGACCCCUGACCGUUAGGUCCAGUCUUAGACGACUGGUGUUGCGACGCUCAUCUCGCUUUACAGCUUCCGGGUCAUGUAGCCAGCAUGACUAAGCCGCUUCUGUUGAACCAGAACAGCGCACGGAAACGCUGUUUACCUUCCCACCGGAGUGGUACCUGUUUAUCUACUUGCACUUUGAUGUGCUUUCGAACUGCUAGGUUGGUAGGGGCAGGGACUGAGCAACGGGAGCUCAGCCCGUCACGGGGAUUCGAACCGCCGACCUAAUGAUCGACAAGUCCUGGGCUCUGUAGUUUAGACCACAGCGCCACCCGUGUGAUGUGAUGGUAAAUAUUUUUAAUUCCUGAAUCCAGGUCACAGGCUCACCCUAUUCAUACACAAAGAUGCCCUAAAGACAGGUAAGCAAAAGACAAUGGGGAGGAUUUCCCAAUUCCUUCUUCCUUGCAGAGAAACAUUUGAGGUCAAUUUGGGAGAGUCAAAAUCAGGCAUCCCCAAACUGUGGCCCUCCAUAUGUUUUGGCCUACAACUCCCAUGAUCCCUAGCUAACAGGACCAGUGGUCGGGGAUGAUGGGAAUUGUAGUGCAAAACAUCUGGAGGGCCAAAGUUUGGGGAUGCCUGAUCAAAAUGGUUUCAGGAUUGCUCUCCUGUACUAUUUCAGACAUGUGGUUUAUAUACUUAUGUAUGUGUUUGCCUUGUAAAUUUAUGAACAUUUGAUUUAUAUAUUUGGGACCCUAAAUUCUAGCAUACCCAAGUUGGUUGCCAUCACUGCCCCUUGUGGGGGUGAGUUCCAUAGUUUAACUAUGCUCUGCAUGAAGAAACACUUCCUUUUUAUCUCUCCCCAAUCUUCCAACAUUCAGCAUCGUCACUGGAUGCGUUAUGAGAGAGGGAGGUAGACGUUUGUCUUUCUGCUUUUUCUGGAACGCUGUCCUUGCUGUCCUGCACUCCUGGCCCAGUCAGGAGAAAGAGAAGCUCAUCCACUUCAGAAGGGAUGGGGUUUCCAGGUCAUAGAGAGCAGCCUGCUUCUCUGGAGUAUACUGCAAGGAUGAAUGAGGCCCUGAAUUUCCCCACAUGGUUCGGCUGUCGCCCUGAGGACUUGGCUUGCUGCGAGUGGUGGCGAUUCCAUCAUUGUUGGUGGGAUCUGGUGGGGUGAAAGGCAAGGGGGGGGGGCAAACGGGAGGUGGAGACAAAGCAGGAUGCUGGACUAGAUGGGCCCUUGUUCUAAGCCAGCCAGCUCUUCUGAUGCUCCUAAGGUGCAGUUGUGCACCAGCACAAUGGAAAAGCAAUAGCAUAGGAGGGAGAGCUGGCUUCACAAAAGCGGCAGCCGUGCGCACCGUUUCCCGCAGCGGCGUGUGCUAUGACCCAGCCGCGAAGGAAACUGAGCAUAUUCUGAAAUGCCAAAUGCUCGGGGAGGGUCCUGUGGAAUGCAGGCAUUGUCUAAAUGCCUGGCACAUUCAACUAUGCUGCCGUUUGGCGCAUUCAAGAACGCCCUGCUCUGGGAGUUUCUGGGUGAUGACACCCUCGGGGGGAAAGCAGCUAGAUGGCGAGAAAACACUCCAAGCGCUCUUCAUCUUUGAAGCCCGUUUGGAAGCAAACUCAGAACAACAGCCCAAGCCAGUCUGGGAGCCUUGCCAUAUCGGAGAGCUGAGUUGACUGUGGGCCAAAAUACAUGAUGGGUUUUGCUCCGAAUCUGACGGCAGCCAUACCAAGCCUGGGAAUAAACGCCAUCGAACAAGCCGGGACUUUCUUUGUAAGUUAAGUCUCUUAGUCCUUCCAGUUUGUGUCUGCAUUGACAAUACGCUGAGGAAAGAGAUUCCGCCAAAACAUUAGGAAGACCUUCGACUGAUUCCGAUACCUUCAACAGAUAAAUGGAAUGGAAUAAAAUUUUACCCGUAAGCUACCACUGGUAACGUAUGAACUGACUUCUUAUAGACCCAGACUUUCUUUGGAUAAGUGCAAUGGUCUUUGGAAUGAGUCUCCACAGACUGUAUUAGGUUAUUGACAAUCGUGUAUUAGGAUAAGAAUAUACACAUCUGUAUAAAUGUAGGGUAAUAGAUCAGUAUUGUUUCUUUUUUUUGUUCAUUCUCAUUCACUUGCCUUAUCUUUUUAUAAACGCAAUCCUCGUAAUAAAAUAUUAAUAAUAAACAGAUGACCCUUGGGGGGGAAUUCCCCUUCCAACUCUACAAUUCUAUGACAAGUAGCAGCUGUCCAGGGGUUCAGGAAGGAGUUUCUCAAUCCUACCUUGAGACAGAUUGAACCUGCAACUUCUGCUGCUAAACUUCGCCCCUUUCCCGGCUUGCUGGGUACAAAAGGUUUGCAAGAUGGAUCUGUUCAUUAUAUGGCAGCAAAAGGACCCCUGGACGGUUAAGUCCAGUCAAAGGCUAUGGUGUUGCGGCACUCAACUCUCUUUCAGGCCGAGGGAGCCAGCACUUUCAGGCCAAGGGAGCCAGCUUUCUGGGUGAUGACUAAACCACUUGUGGCGCAAUGGAACACCGUGACGGAAAUCAGAGCGCACAGAAACGCUGUUUAGCUUCCCGCUGCAGUGAUACCUAUUUAUCUACUUGCACUGGCGUGCUUUCGAACUGCUAGGUUGGCAGGAGCUGGGACAGAGCAGUGGGAGCUCAACCCUUCGCGGGGGUUCGAACCAACCUUCCGAUCGGCAGCCCAAGAGGCUCGAUGGCAGCACAUCUUGAAAGACCCGGGAGAUGCCUCUCCGGAUGCUGCUGCGAUUCCAGCUCCCAGCAGCCCAGCCAAUCACCAUGGUGUCCAGUAACAAUGGGUGGGCUCUAUGUUGCAAAGACUGUGGAGCAGCGUAAGUUCAGGGCUGGGGAAAUUUGGUUCUUCAUUGGCUACAAUCUCCCAUCAUCCCAUUGGCCAUGUUGGUUGGGGCUGAUGGGAGUUGGGAGUCCAACAACCUCUGGAAACUCAGGGUUCCCCAGUCACUCCAGCCGGCUCAGACCCCUCCCAAGUGGCCAAAAAUGGAGUGAGCCCUACCUCGCAGGGCUCUUUCUCAAACCCAUGAUUUGAACAUGGCAAAUGGGUGAUAGAAAAGAUUCAGCACCGUCUUCAUCCGAGCAACUGGAACUUUUUAAAAAAAAUCUGGCUGGGAAAACCUGUUCCCUCCUCUACAGCUUCUGCUGCAAUCCUUAUUAACCCUAAAAUGGGGUGUGUGUUUUUUUGCAAGGUGGGGGAGCAACAACAUUGUUUUUUAGUAAACCUCCAGAAUGUAUUUUGUACAGUUAAGGUUUUACUUCUAUCUUCAGUACAUUGUAUUUUUUAUUUUUUAUUUUCUUGCUAUGGCUAGUGGCUGAUGCAAAUAAAAGAUUCUUCUGAUUCUGA